ACUCGAGUGGCGAACGGGUGAGUAACACGUGGGUGAUCUGCCCUGCACUUCGGGAUAAGCUUGGGAAACUGGGUCUAAUACCGGAUAGGAGCCAUCUUUAGUGUGGUGGUUGGAAAGUUUUUCGGUGUAGGAUGAGCUCGCGGCCUAUCAGCUUGUUGGUGGGGUAAUGGCCUACCAAGGCGGCGACGGGUAGCCGGCCUGAGAGGGUGUACGGCCACAUGGGACUGAGAUACGGCCCAG
Molecule: ribosomal RNA, 240 nt
Filed under: uncultured Actinomycetales bacterium
Lineage: Bacteria; Bacillati; Actinomycetota; Actinomycetes; Actinomycetales
Description: partial 16S ribosomal RNA
Rfam family: Bacterial small subunit ribosomal RNA
Source: RNAcentral